This 497-nucleotide ribosomal RNA is filed under the name uncultured bacterium. Its description in RNAcentral is "partial 16S ribosomal RNA". It matches the Rfam family "Bacterial small subunit ribosomal RNA", at positions 28 to 507 of the family's 1533-position model. The record is from RNAcentral.
GAUGAACGCUGGCGGCGUGCCUAAUACAUGCAAGUCGAGCGAACAGAUAAGGAGCUUGCUCCUUUGACGUUAGCGGCGGACGGGUGAGUAACACGUGGAUAACCUACCUAUAAGACUGGAAUAACUCCGGGAAACCGGGGCUAAUGCAGGAUAACAUAUUGAACCGCAUGGUUCAACAGUGAAAGGCGGCUUUGCUGUCACUUAUAGAUGGACCCGCGCCGUAUUAGCUAGUUGGUGAGGUAACGGCUCACCAAGGCAACGAUACGUAGCCGACCUGAGAGGGUGAUCGGCCACACUGGAACUGAGACACGGUCCAGACUCCUACGGGAGGCAGCAGUAGGGAAUCUUCCGCAAUGGGCGAAAGCCUGACGGAGCAACGCCGCGUGAGUGAUGAAGGUCUUCGGAUCGUAAAACUCUGUUAUUAGGGAAGAACAAAUGCGUAAGUAACUGUGCGCGUCUUGACGGUACCUAAUCAGAAAGCCACGGCUAACUACGUG